UACGUAGGGUGCGAGCGUUGUCCGGAAUUAUUGGGCGUAAAGGGCUCGUAGGCGGUCUGUCGCGUCGGGCGUGAAAACUCAGGGCUUAACCCUGAGCCUGCUUCCGAUACGGGCAGACUAGAGGUAUGCAGGGGAGAACGGAAUUCCUGGUGUAGCGGUGGAAUGCGCAGAUAUCAGGAGGAACACCGGUGGCGAAGGCGGUUCUCUGGGCAUUACCUGACGCUGAGGAGCGAAAGUGUGGGGAGAGAACAGG
This 253-nucleotide ribosomal RNA is filed under the name uncultured bacterium. RNAcentral describes it as "partial 16S ribosomal RNA". It matches the Rfam family "Bacterial small subunit ribosomal RNA", at positions 524 to 776 of the family's 1533-position model. The record is from RNAcentral.